This 253-nucleotide ribosomal RNA is filed under the name uncultured bacterium. RNAcentral describes it as "partial 16S ribosomal RNA". It matches the Rfam family "Bacterial small subunit ribosomal RNA", at positions 524 to 776 of the family's 1533-position model. The record is from RNAcentral.
UACAGAGGUCCCAAGCGUUGUUCGGAUUCAUUGGGCGUAAAGGGUGUGUAGGUGGCGCUGUAAGUGGGGUGUGAAAUCUCGGGGCUUAACUCCGAAACUGCAUUCCAUACUGCGGUGCUUGAGGACUGGAGAGGAGACUGGAAUUCAUGGUGUAGCAGUGAAAUGCGUAGAGAUCCGGAGGAACACCGAAGGCGAAGGCAGUGUCCUGGCGAGUGACUGACGCUGAGGUGCGAAAGCCAGGGGAGCGAACGGG